This 253-nucleotide ribosomal RNA is filed under the name uncultured bacterium. RNAcentral's name for it is "partial 16S ribosomal RNA". It matches the Rfam family "Bacterial small subunit ribosomal RNA", at positions 524 to 776 of the family's 1533-position model. The record is from RNAcentral.
UACAGAGGGUGCGAGCGUUAAUCGGAAUUACUGGGCGUAAAGGGCGCGUAGGCGGUUAUAAGGGUGUGAUGUGAAAGCCCCGGGCUUAACCUGGGAAGUGCAUUGCAAACCGUAUAUCUGGAGUAUAUGAGAGGGUGGCGGAAUUUCCGGUGUAGCGGUGAAAUGCGUAGAGAUCGGAAGGAACGUCGAUGGCGAAGGCAGCCACCUGGCAUAAUACUGACGCUGAAGCGCGAAAGCGUGGGUAGCGAACAGG